Molecule: ribosomal RNA, 245 nt
Filed under: uncultured bacterium
Lineage: Bacteria
Description: partial 16S ribosomal RNA
Rfam family: Bacterial small subunit ribosomal RNA
Source: RNAcentral
AGAUGCGACCGGCGCACGGGUGAGUAACACGUAUCCAACCUGCCGAUAACUCGGGGAUAGCCUUUCGAAAGAAAGAUUAAUACCCGAUGGCAUAAUAGAACCGCAUGGUUUGAUUAUUAAAGAAUUUCGGUUAUCGAUGGGGAUGCGUUCCAUUAGGCAGUUGGUGGGGUAACGGCCCACAAACCUUCGAUGGAUAGGGGUUCUGAGAGGAAGGUCCCCCACAUUGGAACUGAGACACGGUCCAA